Molecule: ribosomal RNA, 464 nt
Filed under: uncultured SAR86 cluster bacterium
Lineage: Bacteria; Pseudomonadati; Pseudomonadota; Gammaproteobacteria
Description: bacterial SSU rRNA
Rfam family: Bacterial small subunit ribosomal RNA
Source: RNAcentral
CUUUAACGCUCCCGGUAGGCUUAANACAUGCAAGUCNUGCGAGAAAGUAUCUUCGGAUAUGAGUAGAGCGGCGGACGGGUGAGUAACGCGUAGGAAUCUACCUAGUAGAAGGGGAUAGCCCGGGGAAACCCGGAUUAAUACCGUAUACCUCCUUCGGGAGAAAGAAGGCCUCUCUUUGAAGCUUUCGCUAUUAGAUGAGCCUGCGUAAGAUUAGCUUGUUGGUGAGGUAAAGGCUCACCAAGGCGACGAUCUUUAGCUGGUCUGAGAGGACGAUCAGCCACAUUGGGACUGAGACACGGCCCAGACUCCUACGGGAGGCAGCAGUGGGGAAUAUUGGACAAUGGGCGCAAGCCUGAUCCAGCCAUACCGCGUGUGUGAAGAAGGCCUUCGGGUUGUAAAGCACUUUAAGCAGGGAGAAAAAGUUAUAAGUUAAUACCUUAUAACCGUGAUGUUACCUGCAGAAU